GCGUCAGUAGUGUAACUGAUAGAGCACGAGCUACUGAAAACAGUGAGGUGCUGGUUCUAGUCCCGCCUGACGCG
This is a non-coding RNA of Parelaphostrongylus tenuis, 74 nucleotides long. NCBI's taxonomy places the organism in Eukaryota, Metazoa, Nematoda, Chromadorea, Rhabditida, Metastrongylidae. The record is from the annotation of a GenBank genome assembly.